GACGAACGCUGGCGGCGUGCUUAACACAUGCAAGUCGAACGGAAAGGCCCUGCUUUUGUGGGGUGCUCGAGUGGCGAACGGGUGAGUAACACGUGAGUAACCUGCCCUUGACUUUGGGAUAACUCCAGGAAACUGGGGCUAAUACCGGAUAGGAGCUCCUGCUGCAUGGUGGGGGUUGGAAAGUUUCGGCCGUUGGGGAUGGACUCGCGGCUUAUCCGCUUGUUGGGGGAGUAGGGGCGUACCAAGGCUUUGACGGGUAGCCGGCCUUAGAGGGUGACCGGCCACAAUGGGACUGAGGGACGGACCAGACUGCUACGGGAGGCAGCAGUGGGGAAUCUUGCACAGUGGGCGGAAGCCUGAUGCAGCAGCGCCGCGUGCGGGAUGACGGCCUUCGGGUUGUGAACCGCUUUCGCCUGUGACGAAGCGUGAGUGACGGUAAUGGGUAAGAAAGCACCGGCUAACUACGUG
This 468-nucleotide ribosomal RNA is filed under the name uncultured bacterium. RNAcentral's name for it is "partial 16S ribosomal RNA". It matches the Rfam family "Bacterial small subunit ribosomal RNA", at positions 28 to 507 of the family's 1533-position model. The record is from RNAcentral.